GCGGAGGCCCUGGCCCGCCGGCGGGACGAGGAGCGGCGGCUGCAGGAGGAGAGCGAGGCCCGGGAGAAGGCGCGGGCCGAGCAGGAGGAGCUGGAGCGGCUGCAGAGACAGAGGGAAGAGGCCGAGGCCAAGGCGCGCGAGGAGGCCGAGAGGCAGCGCCUGGAGCGGGAGAAGCACUUCCAGCGCGAGGAGCAGGAGCGGCUGGAGCGGAAGAAGCGCCUGGAGGAGAUCAUGAAGAGGACGCGCAAGUCGGACGCGGCAGAUGCCAAGAAGAAGGAGGACAAGAAGAUGGUGAACGGGAAAGCAGCUGAGCAGGAGGACGUCAAAGGCCCCGAGAAGCGCGCGGGGCCGCUGGCCAAGGAGGAGGAGCUCCCCGAGACGGAGACGCCGAGCGCGGGCACGCCGGGCGCGCAGAAGGGGCCGGCCGGCGAGGGGCUGCAGCCGAGCUCCCCGGGCAAGGAGGCGACGGCGCUGGUGAACGGCGUGCAGCCCGGCAAGCACGAGAACGGCUUCUCGGCCACGGAGGGCAGCCAGGAGCUGCAGGGCGUGCUGGAGCUGGCGCACCACGGCCCCGGCACCAUCCUCCCCUUCGGCGACAAGGAGCCCUUCCUCAAGAAGGCCGUGGUCAAACCCCCCCAGGUCACAGAGGUGCUGUGAGGGCCGAGCCCCCGGCGGACAUCCCCGCGGGGGCCCCCGCGCGCCCGCCAACUCCGGACUCUCACGCAGAACCRUAGCUGUCGUCAGAAGAAAAACCUCGCUGCUCCCCUCCGCCCACCGCCYGCGGGCGGCCCAGGCGGUGCGGGGCCCUGCCGGGGCGGCUCGCGGCCCCCCGCCUGCUCCGGGGACUCCUGGUUUCUCUUUUCAUCCUUGUUUUUAUUUCAUUUCGUUGUUUUUUUUUUUUUAAUAUGCACCUUAUCAGACUGACGCCCCCACUCUAGCAGCCUGCCAGAGCCGCCCCAGACGUGUGGUGUAAUAAUGUAGUUAUUUAACUUGCUGGGUACAAUAUAUGUGAAUACUGUAAAUAAAGCAGGUGAUGCAUCGGGGACGCUCGCCCA
Molecule: long non-coding RNA, 1055 nt
Filed under: Apteryx rowi (Okarito brown kiwi)
Lineage: Eukaryota; Metazoa; Chordata; Aves; Apterygiformes; Apterygidae
Description: lncRNA (ENSARWG00000009449.1)
Source: RNAcentral